This 74-nucleotide transfer RNA is filed under the name Planctomycetota bacterium. RNAcentral's name for it is "Planctomycetes bacterium (activated sludge metagenome) tRNA-Val". It matches the Rfam family "tRNA". From Rfam's summary of the family: Transfer RNA (tRNA) molecules are approximately 80 nucleotides in length. Their secondary structure includes four short double-helical elements and three loops (D, anti-codon, and T loops). The record is from RNAcentral. Lineage: Bacteria; Pseudomonadati; Planctomycetota. RNAcentral also lists the same sequence under 1 other name.
GGGCGAUUGGCGCAGUUGGCUAGCGCGCAUCCUUGACAUGGAUGAGGUCACUGGUUCGAGUCCAGUAUCGCUCA